GUUAUAUGGUCAAGUGAAGAAGCGCAUACGGUGGAUGCCUUGGCAGUCAGAGGCGAUGAAAGACGUGGUAGCCUGCGAUAAGCUUUGGGGAGUCGGCAAACAGACUGUGAUCCAGAGAUCUCUGAAUGGGGGAACCCAGCCAGCAUAAGCUGGUUAUCUUGUACUGAAUACAUAGGUGCAAGA
Molecule: ribosomal RNA, 183 nt
Filed under: Xanthomonas hortorum pv. hederae
Lineage: Bacteria; Pseudomonadati; Pseudomonadota; Gammaproteobacteria; Lysobacterales; Lysobacteraceae
Description: partial 23S ribosomal RNA
Rfam family: Bacterial large subunit ribosomal RNA
Source: RNAcentral